UACGAAGGGUGCAAGCGUUAAUCGGAAUUACUGGGCGUAAAGCGUGCGUAGGUGGUCUUUUAAGUCCGUUGUGAAAGCCCUGGGCUCAACCUGGGAAUGGCAGUGGAUACUGGGAGGCUGGAGUACGGUAGAGGAGGGUGGAAUUCCCGGUGUAGCGGUGAAAUGCGUAGAGAUCGGGAGGAACAUCAGUGGCGAAGGCGGCCCUCUGGACAGUUCCUGACACUGAGACACGAAGGCCAGGGGAGCAAACGGG
RNAcentral lists this ribosomal RNA (253 nucleotides) under uncultured bacterium. Its description in RNAcentral is "partial 16S ribosomal RNA". It matches the Rfam family "Bacterial small subunit ribosomal RNA", at positions 524 to 776 of the family's 1533-position model. The record is from RNAcentral.